UAAACUGGGAUUAGAUACCCCACUAUGCCUAGCCGUAAACCUUUACUUACAUACAAAUCGCCAGGGAAUUACGAGCUAAGCUUAAAACCCAAAGGACUUGACGGUACCCCACAUCCACCUAGAGGAGCCUGUCCUAUAAUCGAUAACCCACGUUUAACCUCACCAUUUUUAGCCAAUCAGUCUGUAUACCUCCGUCGUCAGCUUACCACGUGAGCGCAAACUAGUGAGCCUAAUGUUAAUCCACCAACACGUCAGGUCAAGGUGCAGCAAAUGAAAUGGAAAGAGAUGGGCUACACUUUCUACUUUAGAAGAAACGAAAAACUACUAUGAAACCUAGUUAGAAGGCGGAUUUAGCAGUAAAAAGGAAUCAACAGCAUUUAUCGUAGUCUUGGGCG
This 395-nucleotide ribosomal RNA is filed under the name Ghatophryne ornata (Malabar torrent toad). Its description in RNAcentral is "partial 12S ribosomal RNA". It matches the Rfam family "Bacterial small subunit ribosomal RNA", at positions 768 to 1383 of the family's 1533-position model. Lineage: Eukaryota; Metazoa; Chordata; Amphibia; Anura; Bufonidae. The record is from RNAcentral.